This 404-nucleotide ribosomal RNA is filed under the name uncultured Alphaproteobacteria bacterium. Its description in RNAcentral is "bacterial SSU rRNA". It matches the Rfam family "Bacterial small subunit ribosomal RNA", at positions 355 to 776 of the family's 1533-position model. The record is from RNAcentral. Lineage: Bacteria; Pseudomonadati; Pseudomonadota; Alphaproteobacteria.
UGGGGAAUUUUGGACAAUGGGCGCAAGCCUGAUCCAGCAAUGCCGCGUGCAGGAAGAAGGCCUUCGGGUUGUAAAGCCCUUUCGUUGGGGACGAUGAUGACGGUACCCAAAGAAGAAGCCCCGGCUAACUUCGUGCCAGCAGCCGCGGUAAUACGAAGGGGGCUAGCGUUGCUCGGAAUGACUGGGCGUAAAGGGCGCGUAGGCGGCACAACUAGUCAGGCGUGAAAUUCCUGGGCUUAACCUGGGGGCUGCGUUUGAUACGGUUGGGCUAGAGGAUGGAAGAGGCUCGUGGAAUUCCCAGUGUAGAGGUGAAAUUCGUAGAUAUUGGGAAGAACACCGGUGGCGAAGGCGGCGAGCUGGUCCAUUACUGACGCUGAGGCGCGAAAGCGCGGGGAGCAAACAGG